RNAcentral lists this ribosomal RNA (459 nucleotides) under uncultured bacterium. RNAcentral describes it as "bacterial SSU rRNA". It matches the Rfam family "Bacterial small subunit ribosomal RNA", at positions 28 to 524 of the family's 1533-position model. The record is from RNAcentral.
GAUGAAUGCUGGCGGCGUGCCUAAUACAUGCAAGUCGAGCGGUAAGGCCCUUCGGGGUACACGAGCGGCGGACGGCUGAGUAACGCGUGGGAACAUGCCCCAAAGUGAGGGAUAACGCACCGAAAGGUGUGCUAAUACCGCAUAUGGUCUUCGGAUUAAAGGAUUUAUCCGCUUUGGGAGUGGCCCGCGUACGAUUGGAUUGUUGGUGAGGUAACGGCUCACCAAGUCGACGAUCGUUAACUGGUCUGAGAGGAUGAUCAGUCAGACUGGAACUGAGACACGGUCCAGACUCCUACGGGAGGCAGCAGUAAGGAAUCUUCCACAAUGGGCGAAAGCCUGAUGGAGCAACGCCGCGUGCAGGAUGAAGGCCCUCGGGUCGUAAACUGCUUUAUGAGUGAAGAAUAUGACGGUAACUCAUGAAUAAGCACCGGCUAACUACGUGCCAGCAGCCGCGGUAAU